RNAcentral lists this microRNA (21 nucleotides) under Macaca fascicularis (crab-eating macaque). Its description in RNAcentral is "novel_miR99-5p". The record is from RNAcentral. Lineage: Eukaryota; Metazoa; Chordata; Mammalia; Primates; Cercopithecidae.
AACGGCCGCGGCGCUCGCUGA